This 439-nucleotide ribosomal RNA is filed under the name uncultured bacterium. RNAcentral's name for it is "partial 16S ribosomal RNA". It matches the Rfam family "Bacterial small subunit ribosomal RNA", at positions 339 to 795 of the family's 1533-position model. The record is from RNAcentral.
CUACGGGCGGCACCAGUGGGGAAUAUUGGACAAUGGGCGAAAGCCUGAUCCAGCAAUGCCGCGUGAGUGAUGAAGGCCUUAGGGUUGUAAAGCUCUUUUACCCGGGAUGAUAAUGACAGUACCGGGAGAAUAAGCUCCGGCUAACUCCGUGCCAGCAGCCGCGGUAAUACGGAGGGAGCUAGCGUUGUUCGGAAUUACUGGGCGUAAAGCGCACGUAGGCGGCUUUGUAAGUUAGAGGUGAAAGCCUGGAGCUCAACUCCAGAAUUGCCUUUAAGACUGCAUCGCUCGAAUCCAGGAGAGGUCAGUGGAAUUCCGAGUGUAGAGGUGAAAUUCGUAGAUAUUCGGAAGAACACCAGUGGCGAAGGCGGCUGACUGGACUGGUAUUGACGCUGAGGUGCGAAAGCGUGGGGAGCAAACAGGAUUAGAUACCCGUGUAGUC